Molecule: ribosomal RNA, 252 nt
Filed under: uncultured bacterium
Lineage: Bacteria
Description: partial 16S ribosomal RNA
Rfam family: Bacterial small subunit ribosomal RNA
Source: RNAcentral
UACGUAGGGGGCAAGCGUUGUCCGGAAUUAUUGGGCGUAAAGCGCGCGCAGGCGGUUUCUUAAGUUUGGUGUAUAAGACCAAGGCUCAACCUUGGGUGGCACUGAAAACUGGGAGACUCGAGUGCGGGAGAGGAAAGUGGAAUUCCACGUGUAGCGGUGAAAUGCGUAGAGAUGUGGAGGAACACCAGUGGCGAAGGCGACUUUCUGGACCGUAACUGACGCUGAGGCGCGAAAGCGUGGGGAGCAAACAGG